GUAGAUCAUCUGCCCUCAGGCCCGGGAUAGCUGCGGGAAACUGCAGGUAAUACCGGAUAACAUCUCCGGAUCAAAGGUGUGAUUCCGCCUGAGGAUGAGUCUGCAUCCUAUUAGCUAGUUGGCAGGGUAACGGCCUACCAAGGCAUUGAUGGGUAGCGGGUGUGAGAGCACGACCCGCGUCAUUGGGACUGAGACACUGCCCAGACACCUACGGGUGGCUGCAGUCGAGAAUCUUCGGCAAUGGGCGCAAGCCUGACCGAGCGACGCCGCGUGUGGGAUGAAGGCCUUCGGGUUGUAAACCACUGUCAGAGGGGAUGAAAUGCAGGUGGGUUCUCCCAUCUGUUUGACAUAGCCUCAGAGGAAACACGGGCUAAGUUCGUGCCAGCAGCCGCGGUAAGACGAACUGUGCAAACGUUAUUCGGAAUCACUGGGCUUGAAGAGUGCGUAGGCGGUUUCGUAAGUAGGGUGUGAAAGCCCCCGGCUCAACCGGGGAAUUGCGCCCUAAACUGCGAGGCUG
This 517-nucleotide ribosomal RNA is filed under the name uncultured Planctomycetota bacterium. Its description in RNAcentral is "bacterial SSU rRNA". It matches the Rfam family "Bacterial small subunit ribosomal RNA", at positions 117 to 643 of the family's 1533-position model. The record is from RNAcentral. Lineage: Bacteria; Pseudomonadati; Planctomycetota.